Molecule: long non-coding RNA, 1645 nt
Organism: Lycium barbarum (goji berry)
Lineage: Eukaryota; Viridiplantae; Streptophyta; Magnoliopsida; Solanales; Solanaceae
Exons: 2
Source: RefSeq, a predicted model, not a curated record
UCUUUCAACAAAAAUCUUUAUCGAAUUUCCUAAGCUUUUGCCUUUUUUCCAAGUCCCAUCAACUUUAAUUUCUCCAACUCUGAAAUUUAUGAUCCAUCCUUUUUCCUUAUUUUUUUUUCACUCACUCCUGAGUUUUUGUUUGUGCACUAGGGGUCGUUUGGUGCACGGUAUAAGGUAAGAUAUCUCCUCACUAAUUUUGAGAUUAAUUUUGUACCAUGUUUGGUAGAAGGUAUAAAUUUAUCUUGGGAUUAAUUUAUACUUUCAACCAAACAGAGUAUAAAAUGAAGUCCAAACUUAAUGGUGGGAUGUCCCACCUUAUCCCAUUGAUCUUGAAAUUAUUUUAUCUCACCUCUCAGAUGGGAUAAAUUAGUCCUACGAUUAUAAUCUCGGGAUAAUUCAGUCUGCGUACCAAAUGACCCCUUAGGUUAAAUUUUCCUAUUAUAAUAGUUAAUUUUUCAUAUCAAGCAUGCAUAUGCAUGACAUGCAGGAGUAAUAUAUUAUAACAGGUUAAAUUGUACUUAUCGGUGUGUUCGGUUUGGAGGAAAAUAUUUUUUUUCAAUUUUCACAUGUUUAUUGUUGGUCAAAGUAUUUUUUUUUUAAAUUCUAGGGGAAAAUAAUCUCCUUAAAAAUCAAGAAAUGACUUCCGAUCCCUAGGAAAAACUAGUUCUAUAAGUGACAUUCCAUGCUAAUUGCUGCCCACCCUUACCCUCGCACCCACCACCACCCCCACCACCCUCAAAACAUCCACCCACCUCCAUCUCAUAGUGUAUACUUAAAUUAUAUAUAAAUUCUCUCGGAUCAGUAUUUCUAUUUCCUUACCGAACACCAGAAUAUAGUAAGAAAACAACUAUUUCUCGUAAAAAUAUAUUCCUUUAUUGCAGCCACAUCCCUAAUGUAAAAAUUUAUGAUGCUCUCAACAUACAUAACUUAAAAAUCUUUUUUCUUUCCUUCCUUCCUAUCUGCUUCCUUUACAAACCACAUUGAUUAGGUGUUUUGUAUCUCUAGUGGGCUCUUGGUGGGGAGGGAUUUUUUUCUCAGAUUAUUACAUGGCAAAUUUGAUCAAAAACUCAAAAAUCUCCACAUUUAAAUCUCAAUCUUUCCUUUUCUUAUGUACCCUUUUCUUCAUUUUCCUCAUCCUUGUUCAUACAUAUCUUCCUCCUCCUUCUAAUGUAACAAUGAAAUUUCACUCAAGAAAGAUCCCGAGAAAUAAUCCUCAGGACUCAUCAUUUACUCAUAGAGAAUUUGAAGUUGGUGAUCAUGAAGUUCCAAGAGGACCAAAUCCUAUAUCAAAUCGUUAAACCCGUUGGAACUAUAUUUGGUUCGUGUCAGACAAGCUACAUACAUGGAAAUAGAAGAAGAUUAGAAGAAAGAAGCUCGAAAAGAAAUAGUUUGGCUUUCAGUCUCAAACCGGUUUAAUGUAAGCGUGUUCGUUAUCAAGUCAAUUCGCAAAACGACACCUUGUCCCCUAUUUUACUGCUGUUAUUGGCAUAGAGUUAGCCAAGACUUCUUCCUCGAGUUAUAUAUGUUGAUGAAGAUUUUGUAAAGGUAAUCACUGAAUGUUUAUAUUUAGUGAUCAUUAAUGCAACUAGUUGUUUUCUUCAAAGGAGUUCAAUUUUGUUAAUCACAUUAUUUCUUGUUAUUGUCA